GAUGAACGCUGGCGGCGUGCCUAAUACAUGCCAGUCGAGCGAACAGAUGAGGAGCUUGCUCCUCUGACGUUAGCGGCGGACGGGUGAGUAACACGUGGAUAACCUACCUAUAAGACUGGGAUAACUUCGGGAAACCGGAGCUAAUACCGGAUAAUAUAUUGAACCGCAUGGUUCAAUAGUGAAAGACGGUUUUGCUGUCACUUAUAGAUGGAUCCGCGCCGCAUUAGCUAGUUGGUAAGGUAACGGCUUACCAAGGCAACGAUGCGUAGCCGACCUGAGAGGGUGAUCGGCCACACUGGAACUGAGACACGGUCCAGACUCCUACGGGAGGCAGCAGUAGGGAAUCUUCCGCAAUGGGCGAAAGCCUGACGGAGCAACGCCGCGUGAGUGAUGAAGAUCUUCGGAUCGUAAAACUCUGUUAUUAGGGAAGAACAAAUGUGUAAGUAACUAUGCACGUCUUGACGGUACCUAAUCAGAAAGCCACGGCUAACUACGUG
RNAcentral lists this ribosomal RNA (497 nucleotides) under uncultured bacterium. RNAcentral's name for it is "partial 16S ribosomal RNA". It matches the Rfam family "Bacterial small subunit ribosomal RNA", at positions 28 to 507 of the family's 1533-position model. The record is from RNAcentral.